Molecule: ribosomal RNA, 484 nt
Filed under: uncultured bacterium
Lineage: Bacteria
Description: partial 16S ribosomal RNA
Rfam family: Bacterial small subunit ribosomal RNA
Source: RNAcentral
AUUGAACGCUGGCGGCAUGCUUUACACAUGCAAGUCGAACGGCAGCGCGGGCUUCGGCCUGGCGGCGAGUGGCGAACGGGUGAGUAAUGCAUCGGAACGUGCCCAGUAGUGGGGUAUAGCCCGGCGAAAGCCGGAUUAAUACCGCAUACGACCUGAGGGUGAAAGCGGGGGACCGAAAGGCCUCGCGCUAUUGGAGCGGCCGAUGUUGGAUUAGCUAGUUGGUGGGGUAAAGGCUUACCAAGGCGACGAUCCGUAGCUGGUCUGAGAGGACGACCAGCCACACUGGGACUGAGACACGGCCCAGACUCCUACGGGAGGCAGCAGUGGGGAAUUUUGGACAAUGGGGGCAACCCUGAUCCAGCCAUGCCGCGUGCGGGAAGAAGGCCUUCGGGUUGUAAACCGCUUUUGUUCGGGAAGAAAUCCUCUGGGCUAAUACCCCGGGGGGAUGACGGUACCGGAAGAAUAAGCACCGGCUAACUACGUG